Long non-coding RNA from Aethalodelphis obliquidens (Pacific white-sided dolphin), 663 nucleotides. RefSeq lists it as uncharacterized. The transcript is spliced from 2 exons. NCBI's taxonomy places the organism in Eukaryota, Metazoa, Chordata, Mammalia, Artiodactyla, Delphinidae. The record is from RefSeq and is a predicted model, not a curated record.
GCCCUUCGCGGCGCUCGAAGCCGGGCCAUGCUUGCCAUCCGAAGGAGCCUGACUAGGCUCUGGCCGCUCGUACACUGGCUCUUCGGGUUUGUACUCCUUUCUCAAGCAAUAGGACAGGAAGGGGAUUUACAUAGAGACUGACUUCCUGUAAAGACUAAAGAGGAGCCAUAAUGGCCCCAUCACUCACGAUUAGCGAGACAGCCUUUAUCCUGAGUCUCUCUACCGGGGCAGGGCCAAAAUUAUUCCUUACAACUUUAUCCUGAACUUUGACUUUACUAAAUGUCGAUCAAAUGCUCUCUUAUAGGUGACUUGGAAGUUAUUGCUGCUGAAAAUGAGCCCUGACAUGAAUAUAAGGGAGCUUGAAGUACUCAUGAUUCUUCUCCCAGCACAGUUCUAAGUUUCUGCCCUGCAACAACAAUCACUUCCCCCCCAGCACACACGUUCUUAUCUGAACUGCUGUUUAAGCUUUCCCUGGGCUUCCUUUGCUACUUGUUUCUUUCUCUUGUGAAAGAUAACAAAAUUAUGUGCCUUGACCACAUACUUGUUUCCAAGUAUCAAUACAAAUUCCUGAAAAAUCAACUAAAAAAGCAACUGUUACAAAUACCCACUGGCUCAUUUUCUGAUAUAUUUUAUUUAUAAUACUUAUUAAACUAUUACACCAAG